CAGCCGUAAACAAUGUGCGUUAGGUGUGUCGGUAACCACGCGUUACUGAUGCGCCGAAGAGAAAUCGUGAAACGCACCACCUGGGAAGUACGGUCGCAAGGCUGAAACUUAAAGGAAUUGGCGGGGGGAGCACCACAACAGGUGGAGCCUGCGGUUUAAUUGGAUUCAACGCCGGACAUCUCACCGGAUAAGACAGCUGAAUGAUUGUCAAUCUGAAGGUUUUACAUGACUAGCUGAGAGGAGGUGCAUGGCGUCAGUGACU
This 262-nucleotide ribosomal RNA is filed under the name uncultured archaeon. Its description in RNAcentral is "partial 16S ribosomal RNA". It matches the Rfam family "Archaeal small subunit ribosomal RNA", at positions 748 to 1008 of the family's 1478-position model. The record is from RNAcentral.